AAACAUCCAUUUGAUUGGCAUCCGAGAUGUUAGUUUUUACAGUCACACAAUUUAACAAAUAAUGCAAAAUAGUUGUCACAUUAUAAAUCUAAAUCUUAAUACACAAUUUUACAAUCAAGAAAUUGUUUCAACACAUUAAUUACAGUUAUGACCAGCUGUUUUUAAGAAACGCCAUCUCUCGUUAAUUUUACACAAAAUAUUGACAAUUGAUUUCUUGACAACGGUUUUACAUCUAUUAAUUUGAUUGCUGCAACUAAAUGAAUUUUUAUUCUUAAUCAAUAUUUAUAACAUCAUUAAUAUUAACAGUUGUUUAGUUAAUAUCAUCCAUUAAUGGUCAAUUUUUUUUCAGCAACCCUAUGGACUCAUAAUGUUAAAAGCUCAACUGUGUCAUCAUCAAAACCCUGUAAACUCAAAAUGUGACUUCUAAAACUUCAGGUAUUCGCUUCAAAGAAAAAGUGAUGAACAUGAUAAUGAGAAGGAGGAACAUAGGAAUCAUCAAAGGAUAAAGAGGUGAAGCUUCUGGAGACAAGACAAGACGGAAGAAUGAAAAAAGUUCAAGUGGAUAAGCUAUUACAUCCUAAUGAAGUUUUUUACAUCCAAGAUGAGACAAAGAGAAAAAUUUUCAAGAAAUCGAGUAGACAAGAAUGCUGUUAACCAUGGAAACUAUUGAAAGGAUUGAAGCUUGAAGACAAGAUGGAGAAUCGUGUGGAUUACUUUCCUUGGAACGGUUUACAUUGAUAAUCUGAUUCAUGUUGAUGAUCAUUUACAAUCAAGUUACUCUACAAUCACCUAGUGGAUCAAUUUAUGUAAAAUAUUUUAUCGAUUCUUGAUUCUACCAUUGGGUUGGCCAAUGGUUGCGGUUGUUUUUGAUCUCAUCGAUCUUGGUUUAAUUUUAAUAAUUCAUACAAAUUGGUUGGUGAACAAACAAUGAGUUAUCAGAAAUUGAAUUAUAAAAUGUUGGAGAAUUGAAAAAGAAAGCAAAAGGAAAUUCAAUUCACUUGAAUUGAAAGAAACAAAAGAGGAAACAAAAUCACAAUUUCAUCCUCCAUCUUCAUUACCGUAAUGAUAAUAAUAUAAAUCAUCAUCAUCCUCCCCAUCAUCAACAUCAACAUCAUUAUCGAUAGUGAUGGGAAUAAAAUCAGUUUCACUCUUGUUCAUGAUCCAUGGUAACAACAUCACCUUUCUCCCUGAAACGGAGGGCAAGAUUUUCUUUGAUUACUCCAGAAGCAAUACCGGGAACUGAACGAGCCAAUUUAACUUCAUGAUUCUUAAAAUAUGGAUCACAAUCCCAA
Tetranychus urticae (two-spotted spider mite) is the source of this 1292-nucleotide non-coding RNA. The record is from RefSeq and is a predicted model, not a curated record. Lineage: Eukaryota; Metazoa; Arthropoda; Arachnida; Trombidiformes; Tetranychidae.